GAAAUGCGAUAAGUAAUUUGAAUUGCAGAAUUCAGUGAAUCAUCGAAUCUUUGAACGCACCUUGCGCUCCUUGGUAUUCCUUGGAGCAUGCCUGUUUGAGUAUCAUGAAAUCUUCAAAGUAAAUCUUUUGUUAACUCAAUUGGUUUCUACUUUGGUAUUGGAGGUCUUUGCAGCUUCACACCUCCUCCUCUUUGUUCAUUAGCUGGAUCUCAGUGUUAUGCUUGGUUCCACUCGGCGUGAUAAGUUAUCUAUCGCUGAGGACACUGUAAAAGGUGGCCAAGGUAAAUGCAGAUGAACCGCUUCUAAUAGUCCAUUGACUUGGACAAUACUUUUAUGAUCUGAUCUCAAAUCAGGUAGGACUACCCGCUGAACUUAAGC
RNAcentral lists this unclassified non-coding RNA (378 nucleotides) under plant metagenome. RNAcentral's name for it is "partial contains 5.8S ribosomal RNA, internal transcribed spacer 2, and large subunit ribosomal RNA". The stretch from base 1 to 105 matches the Rfam family "5.8S ribosomal RNA", at positions 50 to 154 of the family's 154-position model. The record is from RNAcentral.